UAUCCUUCACAGAAACUCCGAGCAUGGC
RNAcentral lists this small RNA (28 nucleotides) under Bombyx mori (domestic silkworm). Its description in RNAcentral is "ovarian small RNA-23619". Lineage: Eukaryota; Metazoa; Arthropoda; Insecta; Lepidoptera; Bombycidae. The record is from RNAcentral.